This 497-nucleotide ribosomal RNA is filed under the name uncultured bacterium. RNAcentral's name for it is "partial 16S ribosomal RNA". It matches the Rfam family "Bacterial small subunit ribosomal RNA", at positions 28 to 507 of the family's 1533-position model. The record is from RNAcentral.
GAUAAACGCUGGCGGCGUGCCUAAUACAUGCAAGUCGAGCGAACAGACGAGGAGCUUGCUCCUCUGACGUUAGCGGCGGACGGGUGAGUAACACGUGGAUAACCUACCUAUAAGACUGGGAUAACUUCGGGAAACCGGAGCUAAUACCGGAUAAUAUAUUGAACCGCAUGGUUCAAUAGUGAAAGACGGUUUUGCUGUCACUUAUAGAUGGAUCCGCGCCGCAUUAGCUAGUUGGUAAGGUAACGGCUUACCAAGGCAACGAUGCGUAGCCGACCUGAGAGGGUGAUCGGCCACACUGGAACUGAGACACGGUCCAGACUCCUACGGGAGGCAGCAGUAGGGAAUCUUCCGCAAUGGGCGAAAGCCUGACGGAGCAACGCCGCGUGAGUGAUGAAGGUCUUCGGAUCGUAAAACUCUGUUAUUAGGGAAGAACAAAUGUGUAAGUAACUAUACACGUCUUGACGGUACCUAAUCAGAAAGCCACGGCUAACUACGUG